AGCAGCCGCGGUAAUUCCAGCUCCAAUAGCGUAUAUUAAAGUUGCUGCAGUUAAAAAGCUCGUAGUUGAAUUUCGGGAUCGAUAUAUCGGUCGUGCCUCGGUACGUACUGGUAUUUUCGGUUUCUCCCUUCUGACGAACCUUGAUGUCAUUAAUUUGGUGUCUUGGGGAAUCAGGACUGUUACUUUGAAAAAUUAGAGUGUUUAAAGCAGGCUCACGCUUGAAUACAUUAGCAUGGAAUAAUGAAAUAGGACGUUUGAUUCUAUUUUGUUGGUUUCUAGGAUCGACGUAAUGAUUAAUAGGGAUAGUUGGGGGCAUUAGUAUUCAAUUGUCAGAGGUGAAAUUCUUGGAUUUAUUGAAGACUAACUACUGCGAAAGCAUUUGCCAAGGAUGUUUUCAUUAAUCAAGAACGAAAGUUAGGGGAUCGAAGACGAUCAGAUACCGUCGUAGUC
This 450-nucleotide ribosomal RNA is filed under the name uncultured Glomeromycotina. RNAcentral's name for it is "SSU rRNA". It matches the Rfam family "Eukaryotic small subunit ribosomal RNA", at positions 569 to 1025 of the family's 1831-position model. Lineage: Eukaryota; Fungi; Glomeromycota. The record is from RNAcentral.